GGCGGCAUGCCUUACACAUGCAAGUCGAACGGCAGCACGGGGGCAACCCUGGUGGCGAGUGGCGAACGGGUGAGUAAUACAUCGGAACGUGUCCUGUAGUGGGGGAUAGCCCGGCGAAAGCCGGAUUAAUACCGCAUACGAUCUACGGAAGAAAGCGGGGGAUCCUUCGGGACCUCGCGCUAUAGGGGCGGCCGAUGGCAGAUUAGCUAGUUGGUGGGGUAAAGGCCUACCAAGGCGACGAUCUGUAGCUGGUCUGAGAGGACGACCAGCCACACUGGGACUGAGACACGGCCCAGACUCCUACGGGAGGCAGCAGUGGGGAAUUUUGGACAAUGGGGGAAACCCUGAUCCAGCAAUGCCGCGUGUGUGAAGAANGCCUUCGGGUUGUAAAGCACUUUUGUCCGGAAAGAAAACUUCUGCCCUAAUACGGCGGGAGGAUGACGGUACCGGAAGAAUAAGCACCGGCUAACUACGUGCCAGCAGCCGCGGUAAUACGUAGGGUGCGAGCGUUAAUCGGAAUUACUGGGCGUAAAGCGUGCGCAGGCGGUUCGUUAAGACAGAUGUGAAAUCCCCGGGCUUAACCUGGGAACUGCAUUUGUGACUGGCGA
Molecule: ribosomal RNA, 608 nt
Filed under: uncultured beta proteobacterium
Lineage: Bacteria; Pseudomonadati; Pseudomonadota; Betaproteobacteria
Description: bacterial SSU rRNA
Rfam family: Bacterial small subunit ribosomal RNA
Source: RNAcentral